GUGUGGGGCUUGGUGGAAAAAUACUGUUCUUAUCUUUGGGCUGGCCCUGCUACUAAUGUGGGCAGAGGCCUCCAGGGUGCUGUUUGGCUGGUGGGUCAGGCAGACGGCCACUGCCUCAAGGAGAGUGGUGAAGACAAAGGUGUCAGCCAAGCUCACUCUCUGUUUGGAAAGUGAAACUCAACUUAUCACAGACCAAUAUUACCAAGAUACCCAGGACGUCCCCUGUUGCCUGGUGGAUGAAUACUCCUUAAACUAUAGUGUGAUCAGGAAUGUCAAUGCAGAGGGUAGAUUUGCUGAAACCAGGAAAGGAUGGGUGUCUGAGAAUUGAGGGAUGAUAUUUGUGUACUCCUUUAUGUGUGGUAUAGAGGAGUGGUACAGCAUCUGCCACAACAAAUGUACGUGAAUUAAGAAAAGACAAUAAAUACAUGAGCAACAUAAAAAUUGCUAUUUUU
Molecule: long non-coding RNA, 452 nt
Filed under: Anser cygnoides (Swan goose)
Lineage: Eukaryota; Metazoa; Chordata; Aves; Anseriformes; Anatidae
Description: lncRNA (ENSACDG00005001534.1)
Source: RNAcentral